This 2359-nucleotide ribosomal RNA is filed under the name Staphylococcus aureus. RNAcentral describes it as "partial 23S ribosomal RNA". It matches the Rfam family "Bacterial large subunit ribosomal RNA", at positions 563 to 2925 of the family's 2925-position model. Lineage: Bacteria; Bacillati; Bacillota; Bacilli; Caryophanales; Staphylococcaceae. The record is from RNAcentral.
CUUACAAGUAGUCAGAGCCCGUUAAUGGGUGAUGGCGUGCCUUUUGUAGAAUGAACCGGCGAGUUACGAUUUGAUGCAAGGUUAAGCAGUAAAUGUGGAGCCGUAGCGAAAGCGAGUCUGAAUAGGGCGUUUAGUAUUUGGUCGUAGACCCGAAACCAGGUGAUCUACCCUUGGUCAGGUUGAAGUUCAGGUAACACUGAAUGGAGGACCGAACCGACUUACGUUGAAAAGUGAGCGGAUGAACUGAGGGUAGCGGAGAAAUUCCAAUCGAACCUGGAGAUAGCUGGUUCUCUCCGAAAUAGCUUUAGGGCUAGCCUCAAGUGAUGAUUAUUGGAGGUAGAGCACUGUUUGGACGAGGGGCCCCUCUCGGGUUACCGAAUUCAGACAAACUCCGAAUGCCAAUUAAUUUAACUUGGGAGUCAGAACAUGGGUGAUAAGGUCCGUGUUCGAAAGGGAAACAGCCCAGACCACCAGCUAAGGUCCCAAAAUAUAUGUUAAGUGGAAAAGGAUGUGGCGUUGCCCAGACAACUAGGAUGUUGGCUUAGAAGCAGCCAUCAUUUAAAGAGUGCGUAAUAGCUCACUAGUCGAGUGACACUGCGCCGAAAAUGUACCGGGGCUAAACAUAUUACCGAAGCUGUGGAUUGUCCUUUGGACAAUGGUAGGAGAGCGUUCUAAGGGCGUUGAAGCAUGAUCGUAAGGACAUGUGGAGCGCUUAGAAGUGAGAAUGCCGGUGUGAGUAGCGAAAGACGGGUGAGAAUCCCGUCCACCGAUUGACUAAGGUUUCCAGAGGAAGGCUCGUCCGCUCUGGGUUAGUCGGGUCCUAAGCUGAGGCCGACAGGCGUAGGCGAUGGAUAACAGGUUGAUAUUCCUGUACCACCUAUAAUCGUUUUAAUCGAUGGGGGGACGCAGUAGGAUAGGCGAAGCGUGCGAUUGGAUUGCACGUCUAAGCAGUAAGGCUGAGUAUUAGGCAAAUCCGGUACUCGUUAAGGCUGAGCUGUGAUGGGGAGAAGACAUUGUGUCUUCGAGUCGUUGAUUUCACACUGCCGAGAAAAGCCUCUAGAUAGAAAAUAGGUGCCCGUACCGCAAACCGACACAGGUAGUCAAGAUGAGAAUUCUAAGGUGAGCGAGCGAACUCUCGUUAAGGAACUCGGCAAAAUGACCCCGUAACUUCGGGAGAAGGGGUGCUCUUUAGGGUUAACGCCCAGAAGAGCCGCAGUGAAUAGGCCCAAGCGACUGUUUAUCAAAAACACAGGUCUCUGCUAAACCGUAAGGUGAUGUAUAGGGGCUGACGCCUGCCCGGUGCUGGAAGGUUAAGAGGAGUGGUUAGCUUCUGCGAAGCUACGAAUCGAAGCCCCAGUAAACGGCGGCCGUAACUAUAACGGUCCUAAGGUAGCGAAAUUCCUUGUCGGGUAAGUUCCGACCCGCACGAAAGGCGUAACGAUUUGGGCACUGUCUCAACGAGAGACUCGGUGAAAUCAUAGUACCUGUGAAGAUGCAGGUUACCCGCGACAGGACGGAAAGACCCCGUGGAGCUUUACUGUAGCCUGAUAUUGAAAUUCGGCACAGCUUGUACAGGAUAGGUAGGAGCCUUUGAAACGUGAGCGCUAGCUUACGUGGAGGCGCUGGUGGGAUACUACCCUAGCUGUGUUGGCUUUCUAACCCGCACCACUUAUCGUGGUGGGAGACAGUGUCAGGCGGGCAGUUUGACUGGGGCGGUCGCCUCCUAAAAGGUAACGGAGGCGCUCAAAGGUUCCCUCAGAAUGGUUGGAAAUCAUUCAUAGAGUGUAAAGGCAUAAGGGAGCUUGACUGCGAGACCUACAAGUCGAGCAGGGUCGAAAGACGGACUUAGUGAUCCGGUGGUUCCGCAUGGAAGGGCCAUCGCUCAACGGAUAAAAGCUACCCCGGGGAUAACAGGCUUAUCUCCCCCAAGAGUUCACAUCGACGGGGAGGUUUGGCACCUCGAUGUCGGCUCAUCGCAUCCUGGGGCUGUAGUCGGUCCCAAGGGUUGGGCUGUUCGCCCAUUAAAGCGGUACGCGAGCUGGGUUCAGAACGUCGUGAGACAGUUCGGUCCCUAUCCGUCGUGGGCGUAGGAAAUUUGAGAGGAGCUGUCCUUAGUACGAGAGGACCGGGAUGGACAUACCUCUGGUGUACCAGUUGUCGUGCCAACGGCAUAGCUGGGUAGCUAUGUGUGGACGGGAUAAGUGCUGAAAGCAUCUAAGCAUGAAGCCCCCCUCAAGAUGAGAUUUCCCAACUUCGGUUAUAAGAUCCCUCAAAGAUGAUGAGGUUAAUAGGUUCGAGGUGGAAGCAUGGUGACAUGUGGAGCUGACGAAUACUAAUCGAUCGAAGACUUAAUCAAAUU